AUCGAUGAAGAACGCAGCGAAAUGCGAUAAGUAAUGUGAAUUGCAGAAUUCAGUGAAUCAUCGAAUCUUUGAACGCACCUUGCGCUCCUUGGUAUUCCGAGGAGCAUGCCUGUUUGAGUGUCUUGAAGUCAUCAACCCCUCCCGUUUCGUGCGGGGUGGGGUUGGAUCUGGGGGUUUGCCGCUGCGAGGCGGCUCCCCUCAAAUGCGUCGAUCGGGCCUGUGGGUCGAACUUGACUGGGCGUUGUAUCAUCCUCGCUCUACCGAGAAGUUCCCCUCCUGUGCCCGAUCCCGACCUGCCUUUGGAGCGGCGGUCAAGCUAAACUUUGAAAUCUGACCUCAAAUCAGGUAGGACUACCCGCUGAACUUAAGCAUAUCAAUAAGCGGAGGAAAAGAAACUAACAAGGAUUCCCCUAGUAACUGCGAGUGAAGCGGGAAAAGCUCAAAUUUGAAAUCUGGCGGUUCCGCCGUCCGAGUUGUAUUCUGGAGAAGUGCCUUCCGCGCCGGACCGUGUACAAGUCCCUUGGAACAGGGCGUCAUAGAGGGUGAGAAUCCCGUCUUUGGCACGGACCCCCGGUGCUAUGCGAUGCGCUCUCGAAGAGUCGAGUUGUUUGGGAAUGCAGCUCAAAACGGGUGGUAAAUUCCAUCUAAAGCUAAAUAUUGGCGAGAGACCGAUAGCGAACAAGUACCGUGAGGGAAAGAUGAAAAGCACUUUGGAAAGAGAGUAAAACAGUACGUGAAAUUGUUGAAAGGGAAACGCUUGAAGUCAGUCGCGUCUGCCGGAACUCAGCCUUGCUUCUGCUUGGCGCACUUUCCGGUUUGACGGGCCAGCAUCGGUUUCGAGCGGCAGACACUGGCGAGGGGAAGGUGGCGGCUCCGGCCGUGUUAUAGCCCCCCGUCGCGAAUGCCGCCCGGGACCGAGGAAUCCGGCGCAAGCCUGGGAUGCUGGCGUAAUGGCUUUAAGCGACCCGUCUUGAAACACGG
Molecule: ribosomal RNA, 981 nt
Filed under: uncultured fungus
Lineage: Eukaryota; Fungi
Description: eukaryotic LSU rRNA
Rfam family: Eukaryotic large subunit ribosomal RNA (bases 332-981)
Source: RNAcentral